CCAACUUGAAUGCUUCCUGAUUAAAUAUAUACAGGAGUGAUUUCAGAGGAAUUUAAGUUUUGGAUCAUUCUUUUGAGAAAGAAAGAAAAGUACCCUUUUAAAAGAGGUGGCUCUUGAACAACACAGGUUUGAACUGCAUCAUUCCACUUAUACACAGACUUUCUUCUGCCACUGCCACUCCUGAGACAACAUGACCAAUCUCUCCCCUUCCUCCUCCUCAGCGUACUUUCAACAUAAAGACGACGAGGAUAAAGGCAUUUAUGAUGAACUACUUCCACAUAAUGAAUAAUUGAACAAAGGAGAGAAUUGUGAGAGUGAGAAAAAGUGAGACAAAGAAGAAAAACUAUAAAUCAGCAAAAUACAGUGCCAAGAGCUCUGGACCACAAAUCAGAAGACCUGAGCCCUAAUUCCUUUCCAGUCAUUGGAUUUGUUCGUCGCUUGCCAAAAUAGCAGCGAACUCUCUGUCAAACUGCAACUCAUUUUAUCGGAGCAAAAACUGAACAAAGAACUGCUAUCAUUUCUGAGGUCAGAGGCAGUGCAGCUUGUGUUACAACUCAAAAGAGUAAUACUCUGAAAAAAGAAAAAAAAAGAUGGCGCUGAAAAUAAACAUGUUCAGCAGCCAUUGUGAUUCAACUUACCCAGAUGUGCUUUUCAUGAGAUGGAGAAGGACGGAUGGAAAAGAAAAGCACACAAAUGUUAAUGGAUACAGUUCAAUCCAAAGAAAACCAUGGAAUAAAACAAGAGCAUUAUUUAAGAUGUGA
RNAcentral lists this long non-coding RNA (761 nucleotides) under Homo sapiens (human). RNAcentral's name for it is "PPFIA2 antisense RNA 1". The record is from RNAcentral. Lineage: Eukaryota; Metazoa; Chordata; Mammalia; Primates; Hominidae.